This is a long non-coding RNA of Felis catus (domestic cat), 4141 nucleotides long. RefSeq lists it as uncharacterized. The transcript is spliced from 4 exons. The record is from RefSeq and is a predicted model, not a curated record. Lineage: Eukaryota; Metazoa; Chordata; Mammalia; Carnivora; Felidae.
UUCUGCGAUUGGGCCCGGUGUCUGGCUCCCUCGCGGGGAUUGGUCCGCUCGACGUCGCUCCCGUGAGCCCGCCCCCAGAGGCCCCAGGCUAAACCUGGCGCCGCGCAGCCGUCCGCCAGCCCGAGCUGUUUGUAGGGCAGCGCAGAGGUCUCGCUUUAGGGCUCUGCAGUGGAAGAACAUUUCUGGGUCUGAACAUCGUUUUUCGCAGAAGCACACGGAGAUCUGUUGCAAAAGUAACGUGUGUGGGAUGCAGUUCCCUGUAGCAUCCGGGUCGGCAGGGCAAGUGCCCUAAGAAACGCAGAAAAGGGGGACGGGGUAGGGGGCGCCCGUGCAGGGAAAGAGAGUGCUCCUGGCAAAGGGUCUGAAAUGUGGUCUCUGGCCCUUCCUGGCGGUGUGACCUUGGGCAAAUUAUUUAAUCUCUAUGAACCUCCUUUCUUUGUCAAGUGGGCAUAACAGCCCUACAGGAUUGUUCUAAUGAACCCUCAACACGUAUAUACAGCAUAGCCUUGGGACAAAGGAGGGACUGUACCAGUGCCUUCCAACAAGCCCGCCAGGACCACACCUGAAGUUAGGUUUAUGACUUCUUGUAAGGAGGAGGAAUACAUAAAUGGGGAGCAAUGGGGUAUUUCAGUAGUAGUGUUAGAAUUUGUCAUGGGAUUUGGGCAUAAGUGAUGUGUGGGAAGGGUUCAAGAAAGCAAGCCCCCCCCCCAUUGGAUGCUGUCAGGAAGUGGGGGUAAUUCUAUGAUUGGGUGUCUUAAUUCUUAGAAGGAGUGAACAUAAGUGGGGGUUAAAGCCAUAACUGAUAAAGAAGUAGCUUACGGUAGACAUUUUUUGUCAUUUUUGUGGUUUAGACCAUGUUCAUGUUCUGUGUUCCAACUAGACUGUGGAAGCGGUCUGGUUUUUGUCUCGACCAUGGUCAAAGAAUGGCCUUGUCUGAUGUUAUCCUGUGAAAUUGUUUUUAUUCCACAGAACAUGGUCCAGACGAGCUCAUAGCAACAUCAAGACACAGACGAAUGGAGCCAUCAUCUGAAUACUAUCACUGACAUCAAAGCAGAGAAAACAGAAUGUGGUGAAUCUGACACCAGCUUUUAAAGGUUCCCCCAUAGAAAUGAUACAUACCACUUCUGCUCACAUUUGACGGGCCAAAACAAGCCACAGGGCCACAUGAAAAAUUGAAAAAAUUGAAAAUGAAAAAUUUCAUGUGCUCAGAAAGAGGAAGAAAUAUCAGCAAAUAGCUCUAAUGACCUCCGUGUCGCCAAGGCCAUGGUUUCUCACAAAGAUCAAGAGAAAGGAAAAGGCAUUUAAGAGAUGCUCUUUCUUAUGGGCAGGAACAGUUAGUAUCCAAUAUACUUGCAUGCUUUGGUGUUCCUACUCUUCCACUUGGAGAAAGCCAGGCCUUUUUAAUUUACUCUCUGCUGUGUAUCUCUAUGUGAUAAUACUCAUUAUGCAACCUUCCCCUUGCCAAAUAAUAUUAAAUGCUUGAGUAUGUAUUAAAGAGGCCUUAACCAACUAUCAAUUGGAAUCUGUCACUGUACUAGGGGCUGUCGAUGCAACAAAGAAAGUUAACACGCCACAGUUAAUUAGCAAAGAAACAUCCAUUUAUUUUUUUUUAGGAAAAGAUAAAAAUAUAUGAAAGGAGUAAAAAUGAUUCCAAGCCGAAGUCUCUGGAUGUCAUCGCAGGCCAGAGAUUGUCAUUCACCCACUGCUAUUGUUACUCCUCACAGGUUCUAAUUCAAACCCUCUUCCCUUAAAGACAGAAAUCAAAAAUAAAGGGUAGGCAUGAGAGAGGAGUGCCCAUCCACUGGGCAUAGUCUCCCUGGCAGUGUUUCUGAAACAUGAGUCAACAGGUCCCCAGGAGGACUUUGAAUUUUCAUGGUUUCAGUUCAGGAUCCAGAAAUUCUCAUGUAAGCAUAUCCUGAAAUUGUACUGCCACUUGAUACCACCUGUAUUUGUAUUUCUGUUUAUGGUACAUUGGUGCUGAGUAGAAAUACUUUAAUAUAUCAGACUAAAAAGAAACGAAGUGGACUAGAUAUAUAAAUGAGAUGCCCAAGCUAAGUGAAGACAGUAUCCUAUCAUGGUGUUCAAAAUGUUUCCAGAGCAUUCCAGGAAAAAGUGUAGGGGAAUUGAAUCAUUACCUGACAUGUGAAUAGACAUAUCGAACUCAAAAGAACCCAUGUUGUACAGGGGCAGUGCCAUAGUCAAGUGGCAAAGACAAAACACCAUAUAGUAGUUACUAGAUUUCAUUGAUGUCAAGAGGAAAGUGGCUUUUUUGCUUCUGAUAAAAUCAGCAGAGUAAGAUGUGAUGAAAAGACCUUACUUAUACCAAUUGCUACUUAGCACGUGAUGGUCAACAGUGUGCUGAUAAGAGUCUAAUUAUACAACUCCAAGCACAAAUUGUUGAAAGGGAAUGUUAAUCUGAUCAUAUGACCUUAAUCAAUAAUAUGCCAAAACAGACCUUUAUCUGUGUGAGAAAUUCAUAACCUGACUUCAGUCCCUGGCUUUCUUGACCUCUGUUACCUUGAACGCUGUUGAACAAAUUCCUUCUCCUUGAAAUGUUUUCUCCCUUUGGGGUCCAUGACACAUCUCUAUCUUUCUCCUACUUGAAGAGCUCCUUCACUUCCUCGGUGGGCUUGCUUCCCAAAUGGUACUAUUCCUCAGGUUCCUUCUCAGCUGUCUUCCUCUCUGGAGUCAAUCAUAUCCUCACUGUGAUUCAACUACCAAUGCAGCCAUCACUUCCAAAUCUCAAGCUCACCUGCUACUCUUGAACUUGACACCCAGAACUUCCACCAGAGUAUUUAAAAAAGCCACUGCAUAGUUUUAAAUGUCCCAAACAGAUAUUCUCUUCUUGUAAAUCUUGCAAAGGGACCAAGGAUUUCCCUAGCAAAUCAGAAAUCCUGGCUCUUUCCCUUUAGGGUUUCAAACCAAAGGGAAGGUUAUAACCCUUCUGAUGGGUUAUAACCCUUCUGAUCUGCUGGGAUGGUCCUACCUAAGUUAAGUGGCCAGGAAUAUACAAUAAUGGCCCUCAAGAAGAAAUCCACCAUCAUGACGGCAGUGGUGGUGAUGGUGGUGGUGGAGUGAAAGGGCUGGGCUGGUAAGCCAGGUCAACACCAGGGCCCGUCUGGUCUUAAGGGGAAGGUCAGUUGCUCACAAAGUGAUGAUGUUACAUCCUGUCCUGACCCACCAUCUUGGACCUUGGGGUUCCUUAAGAGAAAUAGUUGAUUAUCUGUACAUGAAAAUAUUUGUCACUGGAGUUGUAAUUGGGAACCCAGUCUCCUAUAGUGUGGAGUAACCAUCAGUAACCUCUCUCCCUCCAGUCUGUGUAGCACUAUCUGCAGUGGGUUAAGCCUCCAACCUUUAGACAUGGGAGCUGGACUUCCUGUUUUCUGAACCAGUCUCACAAAAGCAGAAGUGAGAACAUUAGGCAGUCAGAUCAGACUUCUCAAUUUCUUUUCUGAAUAACAGAAAUAAACAAGAUUGACUCAUUGGAUAAGUCAUGUGUGUGUGAUGAAAUCCUGGCCCAUGAAGUGUUUGAAGCCAGCUGCGAAGAUUCAGUCUUAAAAAGAGAGUACCGUGGACUGUAGGGGUUGAGGAGCCUCGGGAGGAAGGAAAAGAGACCAAAGCAAAACAAAGCAACAACAACACAAACAGGGUAACUUAGUCGUAAAUUAUAUGACUUUUUUUGAAAAAGACGUGAAAGAAAAGAAUUCUCCUUCUGAAGAUAAAUGUGGUGCUUUGUCUCAAAAUUGUUAUUUCUUCCUGGUAACAAAAUAAAGUUAGGGCCAGAUGAAACUAUCCUCAGGGUCAUUUCCAGGAGCCCAAGAAUAGAUAUAAAAGAGUGGAAGCAUGUGGGACAAGGAGAGAGGUCUAAAUUUGAGGCGUUUUUUUCACUUGUUUGGUUCCUUAUUUGUCAAAUACUAUUUGCCUCACUGGAUUACCAUGAGGAUACAUAAAAUGGUUCCGUGAACUGUAAAGUAGAACAAAAACGUAAGACGCCGUUUCCUUUAUUGUUAGUACAGAAUAUUCCAUAGACUUGGAUUUUGCAAUAAAUGAGAAUUAUACCUGUCACGUAUAAUUUUCGAUUUGAGUGGCGAUUUUCUAUAGAAGACUUUCUGGGUCUAGUAAUAAGAUGCAAAGGUUUAAA